ACUCCUACGGGAGGCAGCAGUGGGGGAAGUCUUGGACAAUGGGGGCGAACCCUGAUCCAGCCAUGCCGCGUGAGUGAUGAAGGCCUUAGGUCGUAAAGCUCUUUCGCCUGUGAUGAUAAUGACAGUAGCAGGUAAAGAAACCCCGGCUAACUCCGUGCCAGCAGCCGCGGUAAUACGGAGGGGUUAGCGUUGUUCGGAAUUACUGGGGCGUAAAGCGCGCGUAGGCGGAUUAGUCAGUUAGAGGUGAAAUCCCAGGGCUCAACCCUGGAACUGCCUUUAAUACUGCUAGUCUUGAGUUCGAGAGAGGUGAGUGGAAUUCCGAGUGUAGAGGUGAAAUUCGUAGAUAUUCGGAGGAACACCAGUGGCGAAGGCGGCUCACUGGCUCGAUACUGACGCUGAGGUGCGAAAGUGUGGGGAGCAAACAGGAUUAGAUACCCUGGUAGGAUAGCG
Molecule: ribosomal RNA, 450 nt
Filed under: uncultured bacterium
Lineage: Bacteria
Description: bacterial SSU rRNA
Rfam family: Bacterial small subunit ribosomal RNA
Source: RNAcentral